GGCUGAAAUUCGCCUUCAUGAAGUCGGAAUUGCUAGUAAUGGCAGGUCAGCAUACUGCCGUGAAUACGUUUCCGGGCCCUUGUACACACCGCCCGUCACACCAUGAGAGUUGGAGAUACCCGAAGCCUGUGAGCUAACUUUUAGAGGCAGCAGUCGAAGGUAGAAUCAAUGAUUGGGGUGAAGUCGUAACAAGGUACC
Molecule: ribosomal RNA, 198 nt
Filed under: uncultured bacterium
Lineage: Bacteria
Description: partial 16S ribosomal RNA
Rfam family: Bacterial small subunit ribosomal RNA
Source: RNAcentral